Molecule: ribosomal RNA, 253 nt
Filed under: uncultured bacterium
Lineage: Bacteria
Description: partial 16S ribosomal RNA
Rfam family: Bacterial small subunit ribosomal RNA
Source: RNAcentral
UACGUAGGGGACAAGCGUUGCUCGGAAUUACUGGGCGUAAAGGGCGCGUAGGCGGCCUCUUUAGUCAGACGUGAAAUCCCCCGGCUUAACCUGGGAACUGCGUCUGAUACUGGGAGGCUAGAGUUCGGGAGAGGGAUGUAGAAUUCCAGGUGUAGCGGUGAAAUGCGUAGAUAUCUGGAGGAAUACCGGUGGCGAAGGCGGCAUCCUGGACCGAAACUGACGCUGAGGCGCGAAAGCUAGGGGAGCAAACGGG